UACGUAGGGUGCAAGCGUUGUCCGGAAUUAUUGGGCGUAAAGAGCGUGUAGGCGGCCCGAUUAGUCCGCUGUGAAAGUCCAGGGCUCAACCCUGGAAUGCCGGUGGAUACUGUCGGGCUAGAGUCCGGAAGAGGCGAGUGGAAUUCCCGGUGUAGCGGUGAAAUGCGCAGAUAUCGGGAGGAACACCAAUGGCGAAGGCAGCUCGCUGGGACGGUACUGACGCUGAGACGCGAAAGCGUGGGGAGCAAACAGG
Molecule: ribosomal RNA, 253 nt
Filed under: uncultured bacterium
Lineage: Bacteria
Description: partial 16S ribosomal RNA
Rfam family: Bacterial small subunit ribosomal RNA
Source: RNAcentral